AUAUAUUAUAUAAAAAUGUUGGAUUACAAUAGUGGAUAUUACAUGAGGAACAUCAUCCAAAUGUGAUACAUAAUCUAACUAUUUUCUUGACCGUGAUACUUAAACGGAAAGCAUCCAUCAACAACCCUACAACUUAACUAAAAUUGAACCGAGGAACAACAUCCAACAAGAGUAUCAUCCCUGCUACUCAACUAAAACUGAAAGCAUCAAUAAUCAUCAUGAACUGGAACAUCAACAUCAUCAGAGCAGUAUACUUGCCAC
Molecule: long non-coding RNA, 261 nt
Filed under: Hordeum vulgare
Lineage: Eukaryota; Viridiplantae; Streptophyta; Magnoliopsida; Poales; Poaceae
Description: long non-coding RNA (HVUL_LNC006699)
Source: RNAcentral